This is a long non-coding RNA of Aptenodytes forsteri (emperor penguin), 622 nucleotides long. RefSeq lists it as uncharacterized. The transcript has 3 exons. The record is from RefSeq and is a predicted model, not a curated record. NCBI's taxonomy places the organism in Eukaryota, Metazoa, Chordata, Aves, Sphenisciformes, Spheniscidae.
UUGCCGUGGCCUUCCUGAGUACUGCAACCUCGGCUGCAGUUGCCCAAGGGAAAAAACGAAUAGCGAGGUGUUUCUCACCACCAUUACUAAGUCAGCGUACUGAGCAAAGUUGCUGUAUCCCCAGGUCCCAGUCGGGCAUUCGAAUUUCCCAGAGGGGAAAAAAAAAAAAAGGCAAUGGCAAUCUUCCUGUAAGCAGGAAAAUGCAUUUUACGAACUUGGGACACACCCAGACAACAAACGCAACUCCAAACCUGAAAAACUUCAUUGUAAUGGAGUCAGAGCUUUGAAGCUGCUCUCUGUUUUCAGUGUGCUGAAGUGAAUCCACCUUGAAUGGCAGACUCCGAGGGAUCUGGAUCAUGCUCGGUUAGACCCUUUUCUGCAUUCAUGUGCCAUCUUUACCCAGUUCAGAGAAGCCAGAGAACCUUCUUCCAUGGGAAAGCAACAGUUCCCAAAGCUUGAGAGAGCUCCUGGCACAGCUUUUGAAGGUAAAAAUAGCAUGAAAUACAUUCAGUAGCAAAGCAGUUGGAAUCCCGGAGAAAUGGAGAGCCCUGUAUUCCUGGAGGAUUAGCCUGUAUGUGUUAAGUCACGAUCCUGAAAUAAAUUAUGUAGACUUCUGACUUGG